AUUGAACGCUGGCGGCAGGCUUAACACAUGCAAGUCGAGCGGUAGCACAAGAGAGCUUGCUCUCUGGGUGACGAGCGGCGGACGGGUGGGUAAUGUCUGGGAAACUGCCUGAUGGAGGGGGAUAACUACUGGAAACGGUAGCUAAUAACGCAUAACGUCGCAAGACCAAAGAGGGGGACCUUCGGGCCUCUUGCCCUCAGAUGUGACCAGAUGGGAGUAGCUAGUAGGUGGGGUAAUGGCUCACCUAGGCGACGAUCCCUAGCUGGACUGAGAGGUUGACCGGCCGCACGGGAGCGAGGAUAAGGGCCAGACUCCGACGGGAGGCACGGGCGGGGAAUCUUCGGCAAGGGGCGGAAGCCUGAUGCAGGCAAGCCGCGUGUGUGAAGAAGGCCUUCGGGGUGUAAAGCACGUUCAUCGAGGAGGAAGGUGGUGAACUUAAUACGUUCAUCAAUUGACGUUACUCGCAGAAGAAGCACCGGCUAACUCCGUG
Molecule: ribosomal RNA, 490 nt
Filed under: uncultured bacterium
Lineage: Bacteria
Description: partial 16S ribosomal RNA
Rfam family: Bacterial small subunit ribosomal RNA
Source: RNAcentral